AUGCGGUCCCGGGUUCUGUGGGGCGCUGCCCGGUGGCUGUGGCCCCGCGGGACCGUUGGCCCAGCCCGCCGGUCCCUGAGCUCCGGUAGCCCGCCGCUGGAGGAGCUGUUCGCUCGGGGCGGGCCCUUGCGGACCUUCCUCGAGCGCCAGGCGGGGUCUGAAGCCCAUUUGAAGGUCAGGAGGCCUGAGUUGCUGGCGGUGAUCAAACUGCUGAACGAGAAGGAGCAGGAACUGCGGGAGACUGAGCACUUGCUGCACGAUGAGAAUGAGGAUUUAAGGAAACUUGCAGAGAAUGAAAUAACUUUGUGUCAAAAAGAAAUAACUCAGCUGAAGCAUCAGAAGAAACAGAUGAAAAUGAUUUGAUCCUGGAAGUAACUGCAGGAGUUGGAGGUCAGGAGGCAAUGUUGUUUACUUCAGAGAUAUUUGAUAUGUAUCAGCAAUAUGCUGCAUUUAAAAGAUGGCAUUUUGAAACCCUGGAAUAUUUUCCAAGUGAACUAGGUGGCCUUAGACAAGCAUCUGCCAGCAUUGGGGGUUCAGAAGCCUAUAGGCACAUGAAAUUUGAAGGAGGUGUUCACAGAGUACAAAGAGUACCAAAGACAGAAAAGCAAGGCCGCGUCCAUACUAGCACCAUGACUGUAGCAAUACUACCCCAGCCUACUGAGAUUAAUCUGGUGAUUAAUCCGAAAGAUUUGAGAAUUGACACUAAGCGAGCCAGUGGAGCUGGGGGACAGCAUGUAAAUACCACAGACAGUGCUGUCCGGAUAGUUCAUCUUCCAACAGAUUGGAAGUAAAGGAAGAUCAGAGAAAAUAAGAACAUACAAUUUUCCACAGAACCGGGUCACAGAUCACAGAAUAAACAAGACACUGCAUGAUCUUGAAACUUUUAUGCGAGGAGAUUAUCUACUGGAUGAACUUGUACAGUCAUUGAAGGAAUACGCCGAUUAUGAAUCUUUAGUAGAAAUUAUUUCCCAAAAAGUUUAAGUUGAUUUGUUAUUUAUAGACUUUCGUAGCUUAGAAAAAUUCUACAGUACAUCCACAUAGGGUGAAAAUACCCUUAUUCUCUUAAAAAACAUGAGUUAACACAGUUGGAGGUAAUAUGCAUAUUCUGAAGUCAUAGAUAAUUUACACAGAUCUCUCUCAAUGCAUUAGCAAAAAUCAUACAAUAUACAGAUGGUCCUCAAUUUACAUUGUGGAUAAUUCCCAAUAAACCCAUCAUGGGUUAAAAAUGCAUAUAGCGUUAGCAACACAGCAGUCUCCUACUUAAUGACAGCUUGACUUAACAAUUUUCCAACUUUACCAUGGUGUGAAAGAGGUAUGAUUCCUAAGUCCUAAGGAGCUCCUCAGCUUGAAAUGGGGCUGCAUCCCUAUAAAACCCAUCAUAAAGUCAAAAAAUCCUAAAACAAGUUGGUGACCAUCUGUAAUCAUGACGUGGUGGUAAAUCUCGGACGCUUCCUUACAAUAAGUAGACAAAGGAAAAUCAUCCUUUACAGCCUACUCAGUGAUGGGGAAAUUCCCUGUCUUGCCCUGGGCCAGAGCUGGUGUACAGCUGGUGGAUCAGGUCUUACAAGCAAAGAACCUCACACUCUCGACUGGUAAGCCAGAAGCCUCUUGCUAGGGUGUGAGCAAAACUUGGACAGGAACUCUCAGUAGAUGUUUGUGUUUGUCAAGAUUCUCCAGACAAACUUCCUUAAAAGGAUUGGCUUGUGUUAUUAUUAAGUCUAACAAGUCCAAAAGCUGGAGUGUGAGGCAGGAGGCUGGAAACCCAGGAAAGCUGAUGGUGCAGGUCCAGUCCAAAGGUAUUUGUUGGAGGAUUCUCUUGUUCUGGGAAGAGGACGGUCUUUUUUUCUCUUCAGACCUUCACCUGACUGGAUCAAGCCCACUAACAUCGAGGAGGGCAGUCUGCAUUACUCAAGAGUUCACUGAUUGAUUUAAAUGUCAAUCUCAUGUAAAAGCACCCUCACAGAAACACCUAGAAUAAUGUUUGACCUUAUAAUUGGAAAAUCAGAGCAAAAGUUAAAUCUCUAAAAAAAAAAAGUAUGACCCAGUAGCUAGGAACCUGUGGCCCCACCAAGUUGACACAUAAAAUUAACUGUCACAGUAUCAUCUUAGAAGUGAAAGAAGCCCCUUUAUCCUGUAGUGCCCCUCUACCACCACCUACUGACAAAGAACAUGGUGCUAUCUGGCAUGGGAGAAAUGUUCAGUUUGCUAUGGCUUGUAUGUGUCCCCUCAAAUUCAAGUGUUGCCAAUGUGACAGCAUCAAGAGGUGGGGCCUUUAAGAGAUCACUAGGCCAUGAGGGAUUCUCUUAGGACUGGGAUGAAGGCCCUUAAUAAAAGAGGUUUCAGGGAGCAUCCUGCUAGCUUGCCUUCUGUAUGUGAGAACACAGCAAGAAAGCCCUAGUCAACAAGUGCCAGCUCCUUGAUCUUAAAGACUUCCCAUCCUCCAGAACUGUGAGAAAUACAUUUCUGUUCCUUAUAAAUUACCCAGUCUCCUGUAUUCUGUUAUAGCGGCACAAAAUGAAGAUACCAUACCUGAACACCUGAACAUUCUUCACAAGGUAGUAAAUGCACUGCUUUAUUCUGGUCUCAGUAUUGUGUGCUUAAUAACGAAAUGAGAAAGGGUGGAUCAGGGCAUAGGAUGAACAAGUUACUGCUAGACCUCUCACAAUGCCACUAAUGGAUAAGAUUGUACUUUCAUCAUUCUUGUCUCUUCGUUAGCUAACACCAUGCUAUAAUAGGCAAUAAAUAGAUGUCUAAAAACACCUUAAGUAUUUUUCUAGAAAUCUGGUGUAUUGUUCGAAAAGAACCAAAAUUCAACUUAAUUUCAAAGGGCCUGAAGCACUAGUUAAUCAAAAUUCAUUAGUUUUUAAUGGUACUACCACUCUCAAAUUUAAAAUGUCAUCUUACGUUCCUCUUCCUCGCAUUGGAUUUAUUGCUAAAACCUGGUAAACACUUUUAAUCUUUUUCAAUUCCAUUACCACUGCUCUUGUCCAGAAUUACUUCACAGACUACUUUAAUAGUCACCUGACUUCUCCCCUGCAUCCUAUUUGCUGUCUAAUUCUGGUUACAAAUAAGUAACUGCCAAACUAAUCUUUCUAAAAAGCAAGACUGAUCUCGUCACUCCUUUGCUCAACAAUGUAAAAGCUCCCAUUGUCUCCCAAAUAAAACCAGCUUUCCACUGUGUAUACAAUACAUCCA
Molecule: small RNA, 3195 nt
Filed under: Pongo abelii (Sumatran orangutan)
Lineage: Eukaryota; Metazoa; Chordata; Mammalia; Primates; Hominidae
Description: processed transcript
Source: RNAcentral